Molecule: long non-coding RNA, 2584 nt
Filed under: Gallus gallus (chicken)
Lineage: Eukaryota; Metazoa; Chordata; Aves; Galliformes; Phasianidae
Description: lncRNA (ENSGALG00010017392.1)
Source: RNAcentral
AUUUCUUCCCUUCAGCACUGUUUUUUUUUUUUUUUUUUUAAAUCUAUUUCUGCUGUUUGAUGCCCUGUUGUUUGUGUUUUUUUUUCUUCUGCUGCAGUUUAGCUCAUACAGGGUGAUGAAGAUCAUUAUUAUGCAUUACUUUUUCUUUCUUUAAUUUAUGUAUUAGUAUUAAAACAGACUGAAUUAUGCCCGAUCAUAACAAAGAUAUAGGUGCCUGGGCAGAAAAUGUGAUGAAGGAGCUGCUUGCAUCCAUCCUACACUCUGAAGUCCCUGUAGGAUCCUCAGACAUAUUGUGCUUAUUUUAGUUAUAAUACACGUUAGACUGUGAAGAGGACGGGAAGCAAACAGAACUACAUUUCUGGGUCUGCAGGAUUCCUUAAACAAUAGCUCUGAGAAGAAAAGUCUGCUUUUAAUCCCUCUCUGCGUCACAGAAAGGACUGGACAAUCUCUAGUUUUCAAAUGUCCUUUAAGGGUGGCAUACUUCUAACCCUUAAGAUGUGCAAUCUGUAUGCAGUAACUGCCAGUGCCCUUAUUAGACAUGCAUCCUGCAGCACCUGUGACCUGCAAGGAAGAUGGCUUGCUCUUCAUGCUGUAAUCUAGUGACUGAUGCUGCCACAGAGCUAGGAGGUGGCUGUACUCUGGCUGUGUGCAAAUAAUCCUGACAGAAGGAGGAGAUGCAGAUUCCAGUGGAGCAGAAAUAGAUCUAUGGCCACCCUCUGGCUGAAAGUGUGGGUGUUACUUCCCUCCUCUGCACAUCUUUCAGUUGAGAUAAAAUGGUGUACCAAAAAUUAACUUAAAAGAUCCCUGUCUCCUCAGCUAAAUAUUUAUGCAAUAAUCCCUAUGGCCUAGAAGGGAAGAAUACACUAGGGAGCACAAGGCUUUUACCUCUGCUUGAAACCCUGGGCUAUCCCAAAUUAUCUGAACUUUGCAGGUGGAAUGGUGGUUUUUACCCUCCCAGGGAAACCAUUUUCACCUGGGCUUGUGACUGUGCUCUACCUCUUUUAACAUAGCAGAAAGGGCAUCUCAGCCUAAAUUUUCUUACUGUGCUUUGAGAUGCCUGUGGAAAUGCCUGUUGUGUUUAUGGGUCUGCCAACAGUAAAAGGAAGAAAAGAUUCUCAUGGUAAGUCUGAAGGUUUGGCUUUCAGACGAAGAAUUAGAAGUAAGAGGCAGCAGGUAAAACAGAUCUCACAUGGACUCCAGCUUAAAUUUAAAGACAAGUUGAUUUACUUAUUUGAUUGGGCUUAAAAUAUCUAACAUAAUUUUGGGAAAAUGAUCAUGGUCUACUAAGUCAGAAGAGCCCAGAAAGCUGGUAAAAUAAAAAUGUCAUGGUGUGGUGAAGGUUGGCUUUCCUCAAAUGAUUUUUUUCUUAAACCUGGGAGAGCCUGGACAUAUGCUGAGGUACUCAGCCUGAUUAAUGCUACUAGGUAUUCACCAGCCUUCACCACAAAAUCCCUUCUCAGACAGUAAUACCAAAUAUUCUUGCUUUUCUAAUUACUUAAAAAUAUAUAUUUGUAGCAUGAUAUAGGAAACAAAUGAUCUUGGAGGUGGUUAUCUGAAUCAUUUUAUUAUAAACACUGAACAAUUAAAUUCAAAGUAUUUAUAGACAUUUGAUUGAACGUUUCAAAUAAAUACAGUUUUUCAUUUGAUGCUUUCUUUUCAGGAGACUAUGUUGAAAUAUCCUUUGUAUCAUAAAAUUUAAUGCUCUGCUUUAGUAGUUUCAAAGCUCAAGUAUUUAUGCUUAUGGAUAGACACAUGUAGACAUAGCAGAAAUUCUGUCCCAAGUGAUUCUGACACAGCACCUCUUUUCCUUUGGCCAUAGCAGGGUUCAGUCAUACUUGGUCCCACUUUGCAUGAGCCCUCAGAGGUCAGUGCUUCAUUUGCAUGAUUUUAAUAACCUGUGCAACCCAGUGAGUUCACACUAUGUAGAACUGGAAAGAGAUUUGUUGGUGUGAAGAUUUCUCACUGCAAGGGCAGAAGGAAUUCAGAGGAGGGAGGGGAAAAAUAUGUUGCAUAUGUGUGCUGUGUAGGAAGUGUAUUUGGGACUAAGGAGAUUCCCUGAGAACAGAAAAGGGAUAAUUCUGAGUAGAUGAAUUAGCAGAACAGAUUUGGAAGCUUGGUCCAGGAAAAAUGUUGGAGCUGGGGAGGGAGGGAUAGAGUAAUAUUGCAACAGUAUUGGAAGAAUCAUCCUCACUGGAAAAGAGGUUGUGGGUUUAUUAUUAUUAUUAUUAUUAUUAUUUUAAUUUUUUUAAUGACUCCAGAUUCUGUUGUGUGCCUCAUGUCUGAAAACAUAGGCUGAUCAAAUUGUGUAGCAGGUUGUUAUCAAGGUCUCACUGUCCACAAUUAGCAACAUCCUAAGCUUUUAUUUUGGUGGAGAUGAUGUUCUGAUCUGGUUUGUGUUCUGCUUUCAGCAAUUGUUACACUUGUUUCUAGGAUUUUAUCCCAUACAAGUUUAAAUACAAGUAAACUUGAGCAGAAAAUGUAUUUUAAUUCAAUAAAUUGUUGAUCUAUUCUUCAAAUAUGUUGGGAUGUUUUACUAAAGAGUCAACCCCGUGUUGCUGUGCAAUACGCAGAAUCCUCGCUGAAC